UCUUAACAUGUGAGCCAUUACUUAAA
RNAcentral lists this non-coding RNA (26 nucleotides) under Homo sapiens (human). Lineage: Eukaryota; Metazoa; Chordata; Mammalia; Primates; Hominidae. The record is from RNAcentral.